GAUGAACGCUGGCGGCGUGCCUAAUACAUGCAAGUCGAGCGAACAGACGAGGAGCUUGCUCCUCUGACGUUAGCGGCGGACGGGUGAGUAAAACGUGGAUAACCUACCUAUAAGACUGGGAUAACUUCGGGAAACCGGAGCUAAUACCGGAUAACAUGUUGAACCGCAUGGUUCAACAGUGAAAGACGGUCUUGCUGUCACUUAUAGAUGGAUCCGCGCCGCAUUAGCUAGUUGGUAAGGUAACGGCUUACCAAGGCAACGAUGCGUAGCCGACCUGAGAGGGUGAUCGGCCACACUGGAACUGAGACACGGUCCAGACUCCUACGGGAGGCAGCAGUAGGGAAUCUUCCGCAAUGGGCGAAAGCCUGACGGAGCAACGCCGCGUGAGUGAAGAAGGUCUUCGGAUCGUAAAACUCUGUUAUUAGGGAAGAACAAAUGUGUAAGUAACUAUGCACGUCUUGACGGUACCUAAUCAGAAAGCCACGGCUAACUACGUG
Molecule: ribosomal RNA, 497 nt
Filed under: uncultured bacterium
Lineage: Bacteria
Description: partial 16S ribosomal RNA
Rfam family: Bacterial small subunit ribosomal RNA
Source: RNAcentral